Non-coding RNA from Mycena capillaripes, 109 nucleotides. The record is from the annotation of a GenBank genome assembly. Lineage: Eukaryota; Fungi; Basidiomycota; Agaricomycetes; Agaricales; Mycenaceae.
GGGCGUGUGGUGUAGUGGAAUCACUCAUGCUUUGCAAGUCCCUACGGGAGGUUACCUCGCUCGUAAUCUUGAAUAUAUGCGGUCCAGGGUUCAAACCCCUGCGGGUCCA